CCUGGAAACAGAUGCUAAUACCGGAUAACAACAGAUGAUGCCUAUCAACNGUUUAAAAGAUGGUUCUGCUAUCACUCUUGGAUGGACCUGCGGUGCAUUAGCUAGUUGGUAGGGUAACGGCCUACCAAGGCGAUGAUGCAUAGCCGAGUUGAGAGACUGAUCGGCCACAUUGGGACUGAGACACGGCCCAAACUCCUACGGGAGGCAGCAGGG
This 213-nucleotide ribosomal RNA is filed under the name uncultured Lactobacillus sp. Its description in RNAcentral is "partial 16S ribosomal RNA". It matches the Rfam family "Bacterial small subunit ribosomal RNA", at positions 149 to 354 of the family's 1533-position model. The record is from RNAcentral. Lineage: Bacteria; Bacillati; Bacillota; Bacilli; Lactobacillales; Lactobacillaceae.